RNAcentral lists this ribosomal RNA (536 nucleotides) under Bifidobacterium adolescentis. RNAcentral describes it as "bacterial SSU rRNA". It matches the Rfam family "Bacterial small subunit ribosomal RNA", at positions 154 to 701 of the family's 1533-position model. The record is from RNAcentral. Lineage: Bacteria; Bacillati; Actinomycetota; Actinomycetes; Bifidobacteriales; Bifidobacteriaceae.
AAACGGGUGGUAAUGCCGGAUGCUCCAGUUGGAUGCAUGUCCUUCUGGGAAAGAUUCAUCGGUAUGGGAUGGGGUCGCGUCCUAUCAGCUUGAUGGCGGGGUAACGGCCCACCAUGGCUUCGACGGGUAGCCGGCCUGAGAGGGCGACCGGCCACAUUGGGACUGAGAUACGGCCCAGACUCCUACGGGAGGCAGCAGUGGGGAAUAUUGCACAAUGGGCGCAAGCCUGAUGCAGCGACGCCGCGUGCGGGAUGACGGCCUUCGGGUUGUAAACCGCUUUUGACUGGGAGCAAGCCCUUCGGGGUGAGUGUACCUUUCGAAUAAGCACCGGCUAACUACGUGCCAGCAGCCGCGGUAAUACGUAGGGUGCAAGCGUUAUCCGGAAUUAUUGGGCGUAAAGGGCUCGUAGGCGGUUCGUCGCGUCCGGUGUGAAAGUCCAUCGCUUAACGGUGGAUCCGCGCCGGGUACGGGCGGGCUUGAGUGCGGUAGGGGAGACUGGAAUUCCCGGUGUAACGGUGGAAUGUGUAGAUAUCGGG